UUAAGUUCAGCGGGUAUCCCUACCUGAUCCGAGGUCAACCUGGUUAGAAAGAAGGUUGGGGGUCGACGGGCGCCGGCCGGGCCUCCAGAGCGGGUGACAGAGCCCCAUACGCUCGAGGACCGGACGCGGUGCCGCCGCUGCCUUUCGGGCCCGUCCCCCGGGGGGGAGGGACGGCGGCCCAACACACAAGCCGCGCUUGA
RNAcentral lists this unclassified non-coding RNA (200 nucleotides) under Eurotiales sp. RNAcentral describes it as "partial internal transcribed spacer 2". The record is from RNAcentral. Lineage: Eukaryota; Fungi; Ascomycota; Eurotiomycetes; Eurotiales.